CCGCCCCUCCCCGUUUACUUUCACUCAAUCUCAUAAUAAAUUUUUUUUAUUUUUCCUCCGUUUUAUUAACUCCCUUUUUUUGGGGCCCUUUUCCUCUAAAGACCACAUCCCCCCAAUCGGCGAUCCACCGGCAUCUCCCCGCGCCGCCGAUCGCCGGAGCUGCUCCGCCGCGCCGCCCCGAACCUCGCCGCCCUCAGCCACCGUGCACGUUAUCAGGUGGACCGGAGAAUAUAAACUCGAGAUUCAAAGCAAGUUGUGGUAGUACAGCCAGCGGAUAAUUUCGUUAUUUAGCAUCAAGACUUGAUAAGGCGGCUCUACAUGGAAGUCAAGCUUGUUUCUGUAUCAAAGAUGCUGAAGUGACCGUGGCUUCCAUUCAAGCACUACUGUUCUAAAGCAAUUCACUACAUGGAAGUAAACAAAGAAGAGGCCCUUAAGGCAAAGAAAUUGCUGAGCGAUUUGCUGAAAAGACUUUGCUGCAAAAAGUUAUGCCUUGAAGGCUAAAAAGCUGUGGCUGAACUGGAUGGUAUAUCUCAGAUGGUGGCCACUUUCUUCGACAUUUAUGUGGCUUCUGCAGUACACUUUAAUGGUGAGGUAGAUUAUUAUUCGAUUCUUGGGUUAAACCUACUGCAGAUAAAUAUGCAGUGAAGAGACAGUACAGGAAGUUGGCUGUUCUCCUUCACCCUGAUAAAAACAAAUGUGUUGGAGCUGAUGGUGCUUUUAAACUUGUUUCUGAGGCAUGGACUCUUUUGUCGGACAAUGCUAAGAGAGGCUCUUAUGAUCAAAGAGAAAUCAACACUCGGCAUCGUUGGUUUCACAGCCAAGUUUAUCUUCAGUACACGGGGCUGGUUAUACAACACAUGGUAACUGCUUCAGUCCACCCACAGCUCAACCUACAGUUGAUACUUUUUCUGGACUGUCUGCACGUCUUGUAAAGUUCAGUAUGAAUAUCUUCGUAAGUACGUCAACAAGAGACUUUCAUGUAAAAAAAUUGCCGCAUUUUGUUGCUGUGGAGACCGGUACCGCUCCAGUUACUGGGUCUUUUCCCUAUAGUCCUUAUACUUAUCUCCCGGUAAUGGAUAUGGAAGCCACACAGAUCUGAUGGCAUGUCCUACGUCCCAACAAAUGCCACUUAUUUUGUGGAAAUGGAGUGUCAGAAAGCUAUCACCGGACAGGGCUAUGAUUACACCUCGAACCCAAAACAAGUGAUGCAGUUAAACCAGCCAAUGGUAAAGGUUCAUAAAGCUAGACACAGAAGCAGUGAAAAGCAUGCUACUAGGAAUACUCUGGCAGACAGUGGUCCACAUAUGUCUGGUGGUGUUAAUGGAUCAUCUGGGUUGAACACGGUUAGACCUGACAAACCUGACAAGAGAAGGAAGAAAUUGCUGAUGGACAAGGCUAGGACAGAAAUCCAGAAGAAAUUAGAAGAGAUGAAGCAGAAAGUCGCAGCAGCUGCAGCAGCAAAGAGGCUGCGAGGUUACAGGCUGAAGCUGCUGGUCAGUCCAAGUUAGUUAGUCAUUCAAAAGCUAGUAGAAGUGGACCAGUCACGAUAACAGUCCCUGACCCUGAUUUCCAUGAUUUUGACAAGGACCGAUCUGAGGAAUGUUUCAAGCCCAAAGCAAAUAUGGGCUAUUUAUGAUGAAGAAAGAUGGCAUGCCUCGACUUUAUUGUCUGAUCCGUCAGAUCAUCUCGGUAAAGCCAUUCAAGAUCCUGAUCAGUUACUUGAGUUCUAAAACUGAUUCUGAAUUUGGGUCAGUUAACUGGAUAGAUCGUGGAUUUACCAAAUCAUGUGGUCAUUUUAGGGCAUGGACCUCUGAUGUUGUUGAUCAUGUGAACAUCUUCUCUCAUCUACUGAGUAAGGAAAAGCUGGCCGUGGAGGUUGUGUUCGCAUAUACCCAAGAGUGGAGAUGUAUGGGCUGUUUAUCGUAGUGGUCUCCCCAUUGGGACCGAUCCACACCAGCUGAGGUGAGGCAUCAAUAUGAGAUGGUAGAGGUGGUGAUGAUUAUUCUGAAGAGCUUGGUGUCUGUGUUACCCCCUUUGUAAAAUUGGAAGGGUACAAGACAGUAUACCAGAGGAAUACAAGCAAGGAUGCACUUAGGUGGAUCCCAAGGAGAGAUGUUACGCUUUUCGCACGGGUCCCAUCUUGGUCUCUGAAGAGAGAAACAAGCAGUAACUUGCCUGAUUGGCUGCUGGGAUCUGGACCCUGCUGCAACUCCUGAUGAACUCCUCCACGCUGGAAUUGAAGUCCCUGCCUAAU
Molecule: RNA transcript, 2254 nt
Organism: Eucalyptus grandis
Lineage: Eukaryota; Viridiplantae; Streptophyta; Magnoliopsida; Myrtales; Myrtaceae
Exons: 5
Source: RefSeq, a predicted model, not a curated record